Corvus moneduloides (New Caledonian crow) is the source of this 2763-nucleotide long non-coding RNA. Lineage: Eukaryota; Metazoa; Chordata; Aves; Passeriformes; Corvidae. The record is from Ensembl.
AUGUAUUUCACCCUGCCAAAACCAGGCGUCCCCUCGGGCGUCCGCAGUUCCCGGGACAAGGAAAGUUGGAGGCCGCUCCCCGCGCCCUGCGGCCGCGGCGCACGGGACCGUGGCAGCCGCGCUCCGCGCUGCGGGAACCCCGCUGCCCACGCCGCGCCCGGGGCAACGCUGCCGCCCCGGGCUCGCACGCAUCUCCCUCCCGGGCCCGGCCCGGCCCCGCCGCCGACGGUGAUGCCCCGGCCGCCCGCCCGCCGAGCCCGGCCUCCCCUUCCUCCGCCGCGCUCUCCGGCCGCCCCAGGCCCCACCAGCGACCGUCAGAAUGGUGAGAUAACAACUGUCUCAAAGGCAGUGAGCCAACAUGUGCAGAAGAGCUCUGAGAUCAUCAGAUAGAAGGUGGCUCUCACAGGACAGCAAUGGGAUGUAUCAAUACUGAUGCUACAGUUUCUUUUUAAAUAAUAUCGAAGGCUAGAUUUUCAUCAGAAUUAUUGCAGUUUUAUUUUGCUGUUGGCACGACAAAGAUGUUCUUUUAUUGGUAUCUUGGGGAGGUUAAUUGCAUUGGAGUGUUUUGUUUUAAAGUUCAAACCUUCAGUGAAUGCAGGUGAGCUGCUCUUUUAUCAUAAGAUUUCAUCACACACCCUGUUCCUGGGGGCUGUUUCUGGCUGUUAACAGUCCUAUUGGUUCAAAUUUUAUUGCAGUAGGUUUUAUAUUCUCUGGUAUUGCCACCUCUCUUCAACUCUUGAACUCUUACAGACACCCACCCUAUGCAGGCUCUGAAUGUAGGUUUUAUUGAAUGGGUGAAAUAUUUACUGAGCUGUAAUAAGCCCCAUACAGUGCUCAGUAAAUGACACUUGUACAUUGUUUUGGAAAGUGCUCUGAGAUCCUGCAGGGUGAGCAGUUGAAAAUACUCCCUGCUACACAGAUGGUGUUGCAUAAUGGACCUCAGGUACUACAGAGUCAGUUUAGAAGUCAAAAGAAAAUAUAAGGCCACACUUCCCAAAAUGCUGCUGUGUGCACACCAAGGGAACACUCUGUGGCUACCAGCUUUCUAAAGGAAAAUGUCAGAAAUGUGGACACAGAACAAUAUAAGUAUAAUGCCAGUGUUCAUUUAAGUAUGAAUAGUGUCAAGCUCCAUGCAGCUUUUUUCACCUGGCACACUGUGUGCAUUUUUAAAUAAGGUUUCACAAAUUAGAUGACCAUGUAGCACAGAAGGCAGUUCAUUGCAGGAGGCUAACCAGCUUAAUUCCAGCUAAUGGUAUGCUUUUGGCAGUAAUUUCAUAAGGAACUGGUCCUUUUCCUUGACAUCAAGAGGAAGAUAUGGCCCAGAAUCCACACUGAAGGGUGUGAGUGACAAGUAGUUUAGAAAAGGUUUACAUCCUGUGCCAUAAUUUAGGGAAACUGGUAGAAAAUAUUAUUAUUUGAUAAAUCAGCUGAUUGUAUAAGUAACUAAGAGACAGCAGCAUAGGCCCUGAUGUCCCAAGAUGGCACUAUGAAAUAGCGCAGAAGUAGUGAAAUUAUUCUGGAAGUGUUGGAAAUUAUAGAAUCUCUUAAUAAUUUUAGUUAAUGGUUUUAAUUAACUUUUAAAUUAAUUAUUUAAAUUAAUUAUAACCAAUAUGAAUUUUAAUUGUAAAUAGUGUGUCAUUCUUAAAUUACUCUUAGCCAGCAUUUAGCAAAGUUGUCAUAAGCAGCUAAUGUGGGAAUACAGCUUGGGAAAAUUACUGAAACUUUAAGUUUUGCUAAGCUAACCUUGAUAGGCUUCAAUGAACAAGGCCUGGGAGAGAAUGAUGUAUUGUUGAAACUGGAUACAAGAAGCACAGAAUUUAUGGACUACAAGGACAUUUUUCAGAAACCAGAAGAUAGAGAAGAAGUUAACAAGGACUCAGCAUAUAUGUGUUGAAAAGUCCCUACCUGGGAAAAAGGUACUAAAAAGACUGAAAAAUGUAAGCUAAUUAGCAUGAGAAGUGAGAAAUCAAAAACCAAUAAAGGACAGAAUACUAAUUAAUGAAAGAAAAUGAUGUAAUUUAGAACCAAUGAACAUUAAUUUCUUUGUUUGCUAAAAAUGUAUGAAUAAGUGAAUGAGUUUUGUAUCUACAUUUGUGUAGAGGCCAGAGUUUUGUUGGCCACACACACACCUGCUGGCCAAGAAUAAAGUAAUGCCUUACUCACUAACACUAAAAAGACAGUGGUAGAGGGUUUUAUUUAUCCCGACAUCUUUGGAGGAUUUGGUAACUGAAACAUCAUUCAGCUUCAAGAGCUCUGCCUGUACUCUGACUUGCUGUAGCCUCUCAGCAUUCCCUCGUGUCUUCUGAAAACAAUGCUGAAGGUUCCCUGUAAGCUGAGUCUAAUACAGCAGUGGCAGAGAAACGUACUUAUUCUGCUUCAGGAACACAGAAAUGUAUUUCAUAUUUCUUCAGCGCACAGGAAUUGUACAAUGUGUAUUUUAUAGAAAAGCCCAAGAAGGAUCUGCAACUAGCAGUUAUCAAGUAACCUGUCUGCCACAGCAAAUGUCUCCAUUCACUAUUCAGUAAUAAAAGGCAUUUAAUUAAUUAAGUGUGAGAGUCCAUAUCCCUGGUCAACCUUUAAUUUCAUUGCUUUAGCAAAAUCACCUGGUUAAGACUGGACAUCUGUAUCUCUGAAGGAGCAGAAACUAAGAUAUGGCAGCAAAUUCUUCAGGUUGUCACCUUCUACACAAAGUUUACUAGGCCAAAAAAAAGCUAAAAUCCUUUUUCAUUAAGGCAUAAAAUUGGCUCAAAAGGCAACAAGGAA